GAUGAACGCUGGCGGCGUGCCUAAUACAUGCAAGUCGAGCGAACAGACGAGGAGCUUGCUCCUCUGACGUUAGCGGCGGACGGGCGAGUAACACGUGGAUAACCUACCUACAAGACUGGGAUAACUUCGGGAAACCGGAGCUAAUACAGGACAAUAUAUCUAACCGCAUGGUUUAAUAGUGAAAGACGGUUUUGCUGUCACUUAUAGACGGAUCGGCGCCGCAUUAGCUAGUUGGUUAGCUAACGGCAUACCAAGGCAACGAUGGGUAGCCGCCCUGAGGGGGUGAUCGGCCACACUGGAAGUGAGACACGGUCCAGACUCCUGCGGUAGGCAGCAGUAGGGAAUCUUCCGCAAUGGGGGAAAGCCUGACGGACCAACACCGCGUGAGGGAUGAAGGUCUUCGGAUCGUAAAGCUCUGUUAUUAGGGAAGAACAAAUGUGUAAGUAACUAUGCACGUCUUGACGGUACCUAAUCAGAAAGCCACGGCUAACUACGUG
Molecule: ribosomal RNA, 497 nt
Filed under: uncultured bacterium
Lineage: Bacteria
Description: partial 16S ribosomal RNA
Rfam family: Bacterial small subunit ribosomal RNA
Source: RNAcentral